GGGGGGGGGGGGGGGGAGGGCUGGCGCGUGCAGGGCGGGGGGAUGAGGGGGGCGUGCUCCUGGCUUCAGCGGCGGACGGGUGAGUCAUGACUAGGAAUCUGCCGGGCAUUGUGGGCUAACGUCCGGAAACGGGCGCUAAUACCGCAUCCGUCCUGACGGCGCAAGGGGGGGAUCUUCGGACCUCACGCUAUCAGAUGAGCCUAGGUCGGGUUAGCUAGUUGGUGGGGUAAAGGCCUACCAAGGCGACGAUCCGUAACUGAGCUGAGAGGAUGAUCAGUCACCCUGGAACUGGAACACGUUCCAAACUCCUACGGGAGGCAGCAGUGGGGAAUAUUGGACAAUGGGCGAAAGCCUGAUCCAGCCAUGCCGCGUGUGUGAAGAAGGUCUUCGGAUUGUAAAGCACUUUAAGUUGGGAGGAAGGGCAGUAAGUUAAUACCUUGCUGUUUUGACGUUACCAACAGAAUAAGCACCGGCUAACUUCGUG
Molecule: ribosomal RNA, 484 nt
Filed under: uncultured bacterium
Lineage: Bacteria
Description: partial 16S ribosomal RNA
Rfam family: Bacterial small subunit ribosomal RNA
Source: RNAcentral